UACGUAGGCGGAAAAUUAAGUCAGUAGUGAAAUCCUGCAGCUUAACUGUAGAACUGUUAUUGAUACUGGUUUUCAUGAAUAUAGUUGAGGUAAGCGGAAUGUGUAAUGUAGCGGUGAAAUGCUUAGAUAUUACACAGAACACCGAUUGCGAAGGCAGCUUACUAAGCUAUGAUUGACGCUGAGGUACGAAAGCGUGGGGAGCGAACAGGAUUAGAUACCCUGGUAGUCC
RNAcentral lists this ribosomal RNA (229 nucleotides) under uncultured bacterium. RNAcentral describes it as "partial 16S ribosomal RNA". It matches the Rfam family "Bacterial small subunit ribosomal RNA", at positions 568 to 796 of the family's 1533-position model. The record is from RNAcentral.